This 496-nucleotide ribosomal RNA is filed under the name uncultured bacterium. RNAcentral's name for it is "partial 16S ribosomal RNA". It matches the Rfam family "Bacterial small subunit ribosomal RNA", at positions 29 to 507 of the family's 1533-position model. The record is from RNAcentral.
AUGCACGCUGGCGGCGUGCCUCAUCCCUGCAAGUCGAGCGAACAGACGAGGAGCUUGCUCCUUCGACGUUAGCGGCGGACGGGUGAGUAACACGUAGGUAACCUACCUAUAAGACUGGGAUAACUUCGGGAAACCGGAGCUAAUACCGGAUAAUAUUUCGAACCGCAUGGUUCGAUAGUGAAAGAUGGCUUUGCUAUCACUUAUAGAUGGACCUGCGCCGUAUUAGCUAGUUGGUAAGGUAACGGCUUACCAAGGCAACGAUACGUAGCCGACCUGAGAGGGUGAUCGGCCACACUGGAACUGAGACACGGUCCAGACUCCUACGGGAGGCAGCAGUAGGGAAUCUUCCGCAAUGGGCGAAAGCCUGACGGAGCAACGCCGCGUGAGUGAUGAAGGUCUUCGGAUCGUAAAACUCUGUUAUUAGGGAAGAACAAACGUGUAAGUAACUGUGCACGUCUUGACGGUACCUAAUCAGAAAGCCACGGCUAACUACGUG